This 1340-nucleotide long non-coding RNA is filed under the name Rattus norvegicus (Norway rat). Its description in RNAcentral is "long non-coding RNA NONRATT016774". The record is from RNAcentral. Lineage: Eukaryota; Metazoa; Chordata; Mammalia; Rodentia; Muridae.
CUCGGGUCUCUGGACUUAGCUUUUGUGUGGUGUUUCCUGGGUCAGGACCAGAGUCAACGGGAUGGACAUGUGGCAAAAAGCCUUGGACUUGGCUGUGAUCUUUGACUAUUGGGGGAGGGAUCCUGGGUAUGGUGAGACGGUGAUGAGAGAAAAGGGUGACAAAGGACUGGCCUCCCUGAUCUAUCUCCUCAUGGCAGUGACCCACUUCCAGCCCCCUGGACACUCGGGUACAAGAGACUCAGGUUGGGCAUGGGAAGGGUGGGGUCUCCAUAGUCCACGAAAUGCCUCCUUGUUCUCAUUCAUUGCUCUCAAAAUUAGCUUCUGUGACAAAGAUUUAAUCUGUUUCCUACCUGCAGCCCUAGGUUGGAGAGAGAGAGAACAGAGAAUUGGGCUUUGCUGUUCAUUGAUUAAGACUAUAGGAACCAUGUUGGUUAGUAUCAGCAAUGGUACUUUCAAUGGAGAGGGAUUAAUUGCAAGCUGGACAGGCUUCCCCUCUGGGCCCUGUCCAUUCCAUUUCCCUCAGCUGAAUACUAACGGGCCAAAGUAGGACCAGAGGGUGAUGUGGUCUAUAUCUGAACAAAUCUCUGGUUCACUGAACAUGAAAGAGGGAAAGUGGGAUGGGGUGGAGUAGUUUCCCCUUUGAAAAAAAAUAAAUUUUAUGAUAAAAGUUAUAUUAAUAUCAACCCUGACUCCUUUGGUUCUAUUAAAUACAUGAAUAGCUGAAUGCCAACAUCCCCCGGGGCACACACAUGAUGUGUGCUCUCUGCCUUCAAGGACUUCACAGUCUAACUCGGUCAGAUAUUUGUAUUUUGUAGAGCAUUUAGGUCUGAUAGAGUUGUACAGUAAGGACAAUAUAUCUAUGGUCCUGACUUUUGAGUUUACUGAAGUGAUCCAUGCAGCUACAGACUCCAUGCAGGUUGUGGACAGUGUGGGGAGUGUAAGCAAAACUCUUUAGUGAAGAAAAUAAUCUAGUAAAUAAAACUGGGCAAACAGCUUUUUCCAUUUUGGUUUAGGUACAUUUCCAGGUUUCUGUCUUCCUAUCAUUUGUGUGUUCUUCUAAUCUAGUGCCUAUUACACUUAGGAAAUCCUUUAUAAAGUAGCACACAGCAAAUGAGAGUCCUUCUGACUUUAGAACCAUUUCCCUUUCUUCUGAGAUAAAACUCAUGCUGAGAAAUCUCCUUCCUAGUAUAUCCUAAGAGAAAAACUUUCACAUCCUAUUAAUCCACCAAUCAGCUAGUAGACCCAGAAACUGCCAGUAGAUGGCAGUGUAAGCCCAGUGGAAACAGGAAACUUACACACGGGUGUGUGUGUGUGUGUGUGUGUGUGUGUGUGUGUGUGUG